UACGAAGGGGGCUAGCGUUGUUCGGAAUUACUGGGCGUAAAGCGCGCGUAGGCGGUGAUCUUUGUCAGAGGUGAAAGCCCGGGGCUCAACUCCGGAAUUGCCUUUGAAACGGGAUCGCUAGAGUCCGAGAGAGGAUGGCGGAAUUCCUAGUGUAGAGGUGAAAUUCGUAGAUAUUAGGAAGAACACCGGUGGCGAAGGCGGCCAUCUGGCUCGGUACUGACGCUCAGGCGCGAAAGCGUGGGGAGCAAACAGGAUUAGAUACCCUGGUAGUCCACGCCGUAAACUAUGAAUGCUAGUUGUUAGGAAGUUUACUUCUUAGUGACGCAGCUAACGCGUUAAGCAUUCCGCCUGGGGAGUACGGUCGCAAGAUUAAA
Molecule: ribosomal RNA, 374 nt
Filed under: uncultured bacterium
Lineage: Bacteria
Description: bacterial SSU rRNA
Rfam family: Bacterial small subunit ribosomal RNA
Source: RNAcentral